RNAcentral lists this ribosomal RNA (257 nucleotides) under uncultured bacterium. RNAcentral describes it as "partial 16S ribosomal RNA". It matches the Rfam family "Bacterial small subunit ribosomal RNA", at positions 335 to 609 of the family's 1533-position model. The record is from RNAcentral.
CUACCUACGGGGGGCAGCAGUGGGGAAUAUUGCACAAUGGGGGAAACCCUGAUGCAGCGACGCCGCGUGAGUGAAGAAGUAUUUCGGUAUGUAAAGCUCUAUCAGCAGGGAAGAAAAAAGACGGUACCUGACUAAGAAGCCCCGGCUAACUACGUGCCAGCAGCCGCGGUAAUACGUAGGGGAAAGCGUUAUCCGGAUUUACUGGGUGUAAAGGGAGCGAAGACGGCGCGGCAAGUCUGAAGGGAAAGGCAGGGGCU